AUCAGAAAUCCCAAAACAGAGACCCUAUUAGAAACCCGGUAGAAGAUGAAGAUGAGCGUAGUCGAGGCUAUCUGCAACAAGUACGACCGAUACGACAUCGAUAAGAAGAAGGACUCUAACGUCUCCGGCGACUAUGUCUUCGCUCGCCUCGAUCUACUCCACCGUCGAGUCCGACAUUGAAGCUGUUCUUCAGGAGACUCCGCUUCGAGCUGCUGUUAAUUAUGGCGAAGCUUCCGAGUGUUGAGAUUAAUCCGCAAUUCAUAACAUUUACGCAUGUUACUAUGGAGUCCAAUAAGUACACAUGUGUUUGGGAAACAAUGCCGUAGAAUAGUAUUGUGAUUAUUGAUAUGAGUGUGCCGAAUCAACGCCGACUCUGCACUUAUGAAUCCAAACUCCCAAAUCCUUGCUUUGAAAGGGAUCCACUGAAUGUCAAAAUAUUCCUCAAAAUGCAUAGGUCUGAUUAUGCUAAAAGAUGGCUGAAGGAAAUGCAAAAGAUUGAUAGGGACCACACCUUAACUCAACUUGAAACAGCAUGGCA
Molecule: long non-coding RNA, 538 nt
Organism: Rosa rugosa (rugosa rose)
Lineage: Eukaryota; Viridiplantae; Streptophyta; Magnoliopsida; Rosales; Rosaceae
Exons: 4
Source: RefSeq, a predicted model, not a curated record